GAUGAACGCUGGCGGCGUGCCUAAUACAUGCAAGUCGAACGCUUCACUUCGGUGAAGAGUGGCGCACGGGUGAGUAAUACAUAAGUAACCUGGCAUCUACAGGGGGAUAACUGAUGGAAACGUCAGCUAAGACCGCAUAGGUGUAGAGAUCGCAUGAACUCUAUAUGAAAAGUGCUACGGGACUGGUAGAUGAUGGAAUUAUGGCGCACUAGCUUGUUGGUAGGGUAACGGCCUACCAAGGCGACGAUGCGUAGCCGACCUGAGAGGGUGAGCCGCCACACUGGGACUGAGACACGGCCCAGACUCCUACGGGAGGCAGCAGUAGGGAAUUUUCGGCAAGGGGGGAAACCCUGACCGAGCAACGCCGCGUGAAGGAAGAAGUAAUUCGUUAUGUAAACUUCUGUCAUAGUGGAAGAACGGUGGAUAUAUGGAAUGAUAUCCUAGUGACGGUACUCUAUAAGAAAGCCACGGCUAACUACGUG
Molecule: ribosomal RNA, 482 nt
Filed under: uncultured bacterium
Lineage: Bacteria
Description: partial 16S ribosomal RNA
Rfam family: Bacterial small subunit ribosomal RNA
Source: RNAcentral